AAAUAAACAUUAGCAAUAACUAAACUCAAGUAAAUAAAAUUAACAAUAUGGAGAUAGAGAUCACACAUCUUAAAACGAUGUCUCAAACCAAUCAGAAUAUUGUUUUCUGUUACUUUUAGUUAUAUAGCAACAUUUGAUUGGUCUGGGACACUAUUUUGGGACGGGUAAUCUUUGUCGAUAGAAUGUCGGGAACUUACGUAUUACAAUUAAUGUUCCUGGAGAUGGGGAAUCCGACAUUAACACCACAUCGUUUGGGAAGUGAGGCAGCUAAGUCAUCCCUUAGCCCAGAAAAGCCAUCAGCUGCUGCUUUAAGGCAUUCACAAGCGCUGCGUCUAUCAUUUUUAGUAGGUGUUGAUGAUUUUAGGUCAAUAACAGCAUCACAACAUUCACUUGAAGGAGCAUCACCACCUUC
Molecule: long non-coding RNA, 412 nt
Filed under: Lupinus angustifolius (narrow-leaved blue lupine)
Lineage: Eukaryota; Viridiplantae; Streptophyta; Magnoliopsida; Fabales; Fabaceae
Description: long non-coding RNA (LANG_LNC001743)
Source: RNAcentral